Molecule: long non-coding RNA, 892 nt
Organism: Magnolia sinica
Lineage: Eukaryota; Viridiplantae; Streptophyta; Magnoliopsida; Magnoliales; Magnoliaceae
Exons: 2
Source: RefSeq, a predicted model, not a curated record
UUUGUAGAUUCUGUAUAGUUUUUCUAGCAUUUAACAUGUUCUUUGUUGUUUUUUGUGUUGCUCUGGCGGGUGUCAUUGGUAUUGCUGUUUACUGUUGUCUUCCAUGCAUCAUUGCAAUUUUAUAUGCAGUGGCAGACCAGAAAGAUGAUCUUAGAACUGUGGUGUCCUAUCUAUGAAGCAACCCAAAAUUUUCAUGCAUAGGUCUUUGGGGAUGAUCUAUGGGUACUGUCACAAGGUAGUUAAUCACACAAUCUUAUAACUUGAUAAUUUCUUGAUUGUUGAAUUAUAAUAUCUUGAUCUAUUAGCUAUAAUUUCAUGGUCAUUUGUGCAAAUUUAUUUCUACUUGUAAAAAUCUUCAUUUGUAUUUCUCUCUCUCUCUCUCUCAUAUACACAGACUAUCCUCUGUUCUUGACAUUAAGACUUAUCUAUUUCAAUUUUGAUCAUUCAUUCAGACAUUCAAAUGGGAAUAAGUCUGCUGCAUGGAUUUGUAAUUUGAUUCAGACACUUCUUACAUCUUUGGUUCCUUUUUUCUCAUCUUAAAAAUGACUACAAGGUUAAAGAAGCAUAACAUAUCAUCCCAUGCUUUAUAAUUUUUCAAAACUAUGCCGUCAUGUUUUUCUUUUUAGCUGAUCUGUUAAUGUCAGCAGGCUAAUGGUGCAAAUUGAAGAAGUUUGAAUGUCAAAUAAAAUAGGUUCGUAGAUUUUUUUCAAGAUAUUAGUCAUUGCAUUGAGAUUUUUUAUUCUGCUGCAUGGUAUUUUGUGACAGCUUUCGGGGAAUAAGGUGGAUGUGCCCCUCACUCAAUAGGUGUAUCCUUUUCUUUUUCAUUUCUACAUACUUCUCAGUGGUGCCAUCCACCACUACCAUUAAAAAAGAAAACAAAAGAAAAAAAAAA